GAAGGCUGGAAAAGUGCCAUGGGACA
RNAcentral lists this non-coding RNA (26 nucleotides) under Homo sapiens (human). Lineage: Eukaryota; Metazoa; Chordata; Mammalia; Primates; Hominidae. The record is from RNAcentral.